RNAcentral lists this ribosomal RNA (253 nucleotides) under uncultured bacterium. RNAcentral's name for it is "partial 16S ribosomal RNA". It matches the Rfam family "Bacterial small subunit ribosomal RNA", at positions 524 to 776 of the family's 1533-position model. The record is from RNAcentral.
UACGAAGGGGGCUAGCGUUAUUCGGAAUUACUGGGCGUAAAGCGCACGUAGGCGGAUUAGUAAGUCAGGGGUGAAAUCCCGGGGCUCAACCUCGGAACUGCCUUUGAUACUGCUGAUCUAGAGUCCGGAAGAGGUGAGUGGAAUUCCUAGUGUAGAGGUGAAAUUCGUAGAUAUUAGGAAGAACACCAGUGGCGAAGGCGGCUCACUGGUCCGGUACUGACGCUGAGGUGCGAAAGCGUGGUGAGCAAACAGG